Molecule: non-coding RNA, 184 nt
Filed under: Bacillota bacterium
Lineage: Bacteria; Bacillati; Bacillota
Description: Firmicutes bacterium (anaerobic digester metagenome) 6S RNA
Rfam family: 6S / SsrS RNA
About the family: E. coli 6S RNA was the first non coding RNA to be sequenced, but its function was unknown until recently. It consists of 184 nucleotides that fold into an extended hairpin structure with a large single-stranded internal bulge.
Source: RNAcentral
AGGACCCUACCGUGUGCGAUUUGACAUCGGUAACUUUUGUUCCAACACCAUUUGAAAGGGGCCUCAGCUCCGGGUGUAGCGCGAGUGCCGCCGGCGUGCGGAGUCGUAAAACACUUGGGAGGGCACCCACCUGCAGGGCGCAGGGAUAGAAAUGUUACCGGCCAAGCGGCAUGGUGGGGUCAUG